GACGAACGCUGGCGGCGUGCUUAACACAUGCAAGUCGAACGGUAAGGCCCUUCGGGGUACACGAGUGGCGAACGGGUGAGUAACACGUGGGUGAUCUGCCCUGCACUUCGGGAUAAGCCUGGGAAACUGGGUCUAAUACCGGAUAGGACCACUGCUCGCAUGGGUGGUGGUGGAAAGCUUUUGCGGUGUUGGAUGGGCCCGCGGCCUAUCAGCUUGUUUGUGGGGUGAUGGCCUACCAAGGCGACGACGGGUAGCCGGCCUGAGAGGGUGACCGGCCACACUGGGACUGAGAUACGGCCCAGACUCCUACGGGAGUCAGCAGUGGGGAAUAUUGCACAAUGGGCGCAAGCCUGAUGCAGCGACGCCGCGUGAGGGAUGACGGCCUUCGGGUUGUAAACCUCUUUCAGCACCGACGAAGCGCAAGUGACGGUAGGUGCAGAAGAAGGACCGGCCAACUACGUGCCAGCCGCCGCCGUAA
RNAcentral lists this ribosomal RNA (478 nucleotides) under uncultured bacterium. Its description in RNAcentral is "partial 16S ribosomal RNA". It matches the Rfam family "Bacterial small subunit ribosomal RNA", at positions 28 to 523 of the family's 1533-position model. The record is from RNAcentral.